RNAcentral lists this unclassified non-coding RNA (428 nucleotides) under plant metagenome. RNAcentral's name for it is "partial contains 5.8S ribosomal RNA, internal transcribed spacer 2, and large subunit ribosomal RNA". It matches the Rfam family "Bacterial small subunit ribosomal RNA", at positions 358 to 777 of the family's 1533-position model. The record is from RNAcentral.
GGAAUCUUCCGCAAUGGACGAAAGUCUGACGGAGCAACGCCGCGUGAGUGAUGAAGGUUUUCGGAUCGUAAAGCUCUGUUGUUAGGGAAGAACAAGUACCGUUCGAAUAGGGCGGUACCUUGACGGUACCUAACCAGAAAGCCACGGCUAACUACGUGCCAGCAGCCGCGGUAAUACGUAGGUGGCAAGCGUUGUCCGGAAUUAUUGGGCGUAAAGGGCUCGCAGGCGGUUUCGUAAGUCUGAUGUGAAAGCCCCCGGCUCAACCGGGGAGGGUCAUUGGAAACUGGGAAACUUGAGUGCAGAAGAGGAGAGUGGAAUUCCACGUGUAGCGGUGAAAUGCGUAGAGAUGUGGAGGAACACCAGUGGCGAAGGCGACUCUCUGGUCUGUAACUGACGCUGAGGAGCGAAAGCGUGGGUAGCGAACAGGA